GUUUUGCAUUGUUAAUUCUGCGAUCAUUUAUGAGGAUAUGAAUCUGUAGUUUCUUUGGAUUUAUGGAGGGGAAUCUGCUGUUAGUGACACUGAGGAAUGAAGUGAAGGAGCUGGAUUGCUUGAAGGAAGCUUGAAGUCGGCACUCGGCAGCUCUGAGUUUGGCACUUUGGCAUUUGUUUGCUUGUUGGACUACCAUUUUAUUUUGGUCUAUAAUUUGGCACCAUUAUGAACUCCCAUUCGCAGUUUCUGACUUUCUGCAUUUGGUUAAUUUGAACUUUAACAAAUGCUUUGUAUUAGUGUAAUUUGAAUCUAUUCAGACCUUGGUAUUAGUAGUUCUGUAGUUGGUAUUACUUGGUAUGUAUGUUUGAAUUGUUUCAGUUGUUGGGAAUUUGGUCUGCUGAAAGUAGAAGUUUCAGUUUCAGGUUUUAG
This 429-nucleotide long non-coding RNA is filed under the name Rosa chinensis. RNAcentral describes it as "sRNA RchiOBHm_Chr5g0062501". Lineage: Eukaryota; Viridiplantae; Streptophyta; Magnoliopsida; Rosales; Rosaceae. The record is from RNAcentral.